UACAUGGGGUGCAAACGUUGCUCGGAAUCAUUGGGCGUAAAGCGCGCGUAGGCGGUUACUUAAGUUGGAUGUGAAAGCCCUCGGCUUAACUGAGGAAGUGCAUCCAAAACUGAGUAGCUAGAGUACGAAAGAGGGUCGCGGAAUUCCCGGUGUAGAGGUGGAAUUCGUAGAUAUCGGGAGGAACACCGGUGGCGAAGGCGGCGACCUGGGUCGAGACUGACGCUGAGGCGCGAAAGCGUGGGGAGCAAACAGG
This 253-nucleotide ribosomal RNA is filed under the name uncultured bacterium. RNAcentral describes it as "partial 16S ribosomal RNA". It matches the Rfam family "Bacterial small subunit ribosomal RNA", at positions 524 to 776 of the family's 1533-position model. The record is from RNAcentral.